AAUAAGAGGUGGGAGGCAGCCUCACAAGUUAGCAAUGCAGGGAAUGUUACAAGGAGUUAGCUUCAGUAUGAAAAAAACAUUUGUUUAGAGGCAUGGGAUAGAAUCACUGAAAUGCUGAGACAACUGUUCCUUCUCCUCCCUUGAGCUAAGACCCUGAAAGCUGAACCAGUACCAUCUCCUUGGAGCACCUUCUGAGGGUCCCUCUAGCCUACAAAGUGUAGUCAAGUGGAAUUUGUGCGCUUUCCUGAUUCAGGCCCAAUCCAGUCUUCCUAUGCCAGCCACAGAGCAGUCCCAUACUCCCUUCUGCUCAAUCCUACCCUGCCUCUUCUGCCUGUGAGUAUCCUAUUCACUUGGCUUGGAUUACCUUUCUUGCUCAUCUGCAGUAGACUUUACCAAUGCUCCCUGCUAUCUGGAUCUCUUCCACGUUCAGAGCAGCUGUGUCUCAUAAGAUGUUAAUACUGCAGAUGUCCUGAGAAGUAUGUGUCUUCCAUGGUCAAAAGCGUACAGGUAGCAGACCAGCAAGUUAACUACAUAAUCACAUCUCUCAGUAGAACGUGACUACCAUUCCUGCAAGAACCUUAAACAAACACUUAUCACCAUCAAGAUGCCUAUUCUGGCAGAAGCCCAUUCCUCCAUCUGCAUGGAUGAUCAGAACAGAAAACAAUCCGGGAAUAUGUUGCUGUUUAGAAUUGUAAGUAUACUGAUUUGGUCAGUACAGCCCUGGCUUUAAUAGUUUGGAAAAAUCCUGAGGCUUAUCAAGGCCAAACAACUUGUCCAUAGAAAACCCCACAGGCAGUACGUGAGAGACCCUGUGCCCCUCUGACUCCACAGCCAGAGUCCUUUAUCCCUAGGCAGCGUUUCCUCUCCAAAACACCAAACAUUAACUCAAUGUGUAGGAAAGAUCUGAGGUGGCUUCUAUUCCAUUAAAAGGAAAUCAAUAUUGUUGAACUGAACUCAGAUACGAACAAAGAAUCGAGGACAGUUCAAGUGAAUAGAGAAUAACAAUGACCACUAGUUCUCAAAAUACAGAUACUUAAAAAGACAAAUAUAAGCAUGAAUCACAAGGCUCCAAAUUUUCCUGUCUGUUAACUAUUAGGAUUGUAUCUUGAUUUCUGAGGUGGGGGGAUUUUUAUCCUGAUUUUGGGGGUUGGGGAGAGAUGGGGUGGAGUUGAAGCGAUUGAAGGAGAUGGAGUAUAAACAUGCUACCAAAACAAACACAUUUAAUGAUGCCUUCUGUGGAUCAUGCAUUGUGCUGGAGGACACAAUCCUGAGUCUCGAAAGGCCUAGUACCAGGCCUUCAGAAGAAAUUCACAGCCUGGAUGUGAGGAGAGGCAUGUAGGGAAAUAAGAAUAAUGCAUUAUAAUACAUGAAACAACAGAAAACAAAACACAGUUUGUAAGAAAGUAGCAACUGCUUCCAAGACCUGGUGAGCUCCAUUUCUGUGGUACAUUCAUGAAUUAAAAUGACAUUGGUAAGGAGGAUAAAUCCACAGUAACAAGGAUAGGAUGGCCUUAAUCAUUGUUCUUAUUAUUUUGAUUAAGGGCAUUUUAAUCAAGACUGCUUUUAGGAACCAUGAGCACUAGGAUGAACAAUUUAAAAAUAUCAAACUGUCAAAAUGUAAAGGGCUUUCCAUUGCAGCAGGGAAAAUAAGGAGAGUAAACUUGAUACCAGGAAGGAAAAUACUGCAAGGAAGGAAAUGCUUUUGCCCCAGCAUUAGAAACAUCAGGUUUCUACAGUACUUGGUCACAAACCAGCUGUGAUUUAAAUCCCUUAGCUUCUCUGAGCUGAAGUUCCUUUUUUUUUUUUUUCCUAAACAUUAAGGGGACUGGAGUAUACAAUCCCCACAGCGCCUCUCCAGCUCCAAAAUUUGUAAUCCUAAUGAUGUUCCAAGGAAAAUCUCUUUCCCCUCUGAAGUGCCAUCUCUCUCUGCACAGCUCCCUUUAGCUUCAGGGCCUGAGUCAAAUCUCCUCUCUAUAGGCUAAAUUCAUACACAUGACUGGGUUCACAACACCAACUAUAGUCACCCACAUAAUUUCUGUAGAAAGAUCUGCCAUGUGUCAGCAGCUCCCAUGAUGAGGAGGGUUGUCUUUCCCAGCAAGGUGGCCAAGGUAAAACACUUGCUUAUGGGCUCAGGUCUGGGUGUAGUCCUGGCUGCCUGGGUGAUCUUGGAUGUGUGAGUUCCUCCCCCAUAAGGUUGAGAGGGUCUGCUCUGACUCUCUGCAGGGUUGUUGUGAGGACAAACCGAAGUGAUUCAUAAAGCACUGUACAAAUUCAGAGUAUCACAGUGAUGACUGAACACUCUGGAUUCAGGAAAUCCUUCAGCUGGAAGUCUUGCUAGGACAGAGGUAUGUGCUGUAUUGCUCCCUGAGAGGAAACCUGAUGUAAAACAAACUCAGCCUCAAGGCUGAUGUGCCUCUGAAUCUCCCCUCAGAGCAGCUAACGGCUCUAGAACUAAUAAGGUCCCAGUGGACUUUUUCUUUAAAGAAGCUUUUAAUGUUACCAGGAACUGACAGCAACGCUGUCCACAUCAAUCCCACUCAGACCCCAGCCUCUGGAAGACAUGACCUUAGAAACUCUGCAGAACUUUUCUGUCACGUUCCACCUAUGUCAACAUUCAUGCCACCCACUGUCCCAUGUCGAGUUCUAAGAAGUUAAGAUCUGUACCUGUUAAAAUGGACUUCUAGAUUUCCAAAAAAGAGUUUCAUGGGACUGUGGGCAUUUCACAUAGUUAGGCUAUCCACGGGCCUGGCCUUUCCAGAAAUGGUCAACUUCAUGUAAUCUUCUUAUCCAUAAAGGCAAAGAUUAAUUAAAUGUGUAACUAAAUAUAAUUAAUUUUUAUAACUCUCUUACAUAUUUAUUUAAAUAAACCCAUAAAUCAGAAAUGACGUUUUUUUUCCUCAGACUGAUCUUCUUGAGACUUGAUUUUUUUACUUGGAAAAUAUAGUUACUGUAAAUACUAUAAACUCUGGUUAACCAGCAUGUUCAGAGAAUAUAAAGCUGUAGUAACCUUUAAAUGCAAAGGAAGAGGAGGAGGAGGAGGAGGAGGAGGAAGAAAAGGAAGAGGAGGAGGAAGAGUGAUAAUUAAUAUCAAAUACAUUAAUACAAGCAGGUUUUAUUAACUGUACUUUUAACAGAUGAUGAAACACAUUCAGAGAGACCCAACAGCAAGUAAAUUACAAUGCCAGAAUUAGAACCCAAAUUUGGCUCACUCAGAGGCGCUCAAUCUCUGCUUCAUUCAGGUCUCUGCUCAAACAUUACCUCCUUACAGAGGCCUUCCUUGACCACACGAUUGAAAAUGUCCCAGCUGUCAGCCUGGCUCCCUCCUUCCCUGCCAUCAACUUGCUGUCUUUUUCAGUCCCCUUACCUGGCUUUAGUUUCCUUCAUAGUACUUAGCUGUAUGUUUGUUUAAAAACAUGUCUCCUGUUUGAUAGAAUGCAAGUUAAGCAGGGAUUUUAAAUUAUUCACUGCUUUAUCUCUAAUGCCUAGAAUAGUGUCUGAGACAUAAUUGGUACUAAAUGAACAAACGAAUAAAAGACCCUAAAAUGCAUGCAUUUUUCAUUACGUCUCACUGAAAGGGAACAGUAAGAAAGCGGAUACAUAUAUACACUGCAUUAUGUCAUAAUUCUUUCAUGAUCUGGGUGGUAUGAUUAUAGAAUAAAGGUUCAAAUUGAUUGUGGAGAUCACUCAUUAAUAUUUCUACUAAGGGAAAAGAGUAGCUGUCUCCUAGAAACUGAAGGAACCCUUUACAACUGUAGCAGUGUGCUCUUUUUCACACUCACAAUCUCUCCUUCCUAUCAACUCUGACAUAAGAAUACACAGGACUCUUUUCACGACAAGUCCAAGAAUUUGGUUAGAUUAUUUUUGCCAUAUAAAGGACCAUUUAAUACCAAAACAAACCUCCCACAUCAAACAGUUAAUUCCACAACCACGAAACCUCUUCUGACUCACCAAGAAAAGCCACAUCAACACAGGCACAAGGGAUUCAUUUAUUACACCAAAAGAGUCUCUUCAGUACUUCUUAAGUAACUAUAAUUUUUGGUCAUUUAAAUAAUUUUGCAUUUAAUGUAGGCUCUACUUCCAGAUUUUUCUGAAACUGAUGGAAGACAUACCUAAUAAAAAUGCAUUUCAAGAAAAAGAAACAGAUUAUGAACAUCUCGUUUCAUCUGGGUUUAUGUGAGACUUAACAUUCACUAUUCUUACUAGACAUUCUCCCUGGGAAGGUAAAACUUUUUUAAAAAGUAAUGCCUCCAAGGUACAUCGUGAAGGCAGACAUCUGCUUUAUUCAGGCAAAGUAAGUGCCCAGUAAGUGUUGGCUCACCAGAUCAUGUAUGUCUUUCACAUAGCAAAUAUUCCGAGUUCUAAGUCACAAAUCGAAUACUCAACAAUUCCGCCUAGAAUAGAGGAGUAACCAUGUCUGUGGGAGGGGGAAGGGUUGGGAAGAGAUCUGUUCUUCUUCCUGAUACCCAUGAGCAGAAUACUGUCACACAGACCUAUUUUGUGUUUUUAUAAUUACCCAAAUUCUCUUCUUUUGUCAGAAUUCAUUCUCAGUAACAGCUUGAGCAAUGUAGCAAUCGUGCUCUGAAAUGACUUGUAAACCACAGACACAAAUAUUUGGGCCAAGAAUGUGGAAUCCAUUGCUGUCACAUUCCAUUAUUUCUGGUGGAGCAAUUCACUAACAUUUUGGAAUCUAGAUCAUAAAUUAUGCAGAGCCUCAGCAAAAGAGCUGAGGAAACAAACUGCUGUAAUAAAACUCCUGUUACUGGAGCCAUAAAAACAGAACAAAGGAAAGGCAAAGAAGAAAAAUAGUGGUUGGACUUUUCUGACAUGCCUUGUCCACCAUUGUUACUGGUUUCAAAAAUGAUAAUGUAACAAUCGGAAAACCAUCAGGCAAGCCAAAAAUGAUACAAUAGGCAUACUGUCAUUCAUAAACAUCACCACCACCAUGAGAGUCCCCAGAAUAAAAUUAGCUUUUUGAAGAAUGCCUGAAUGUUGACAUAAAUUAAAGUGCCUAAAUGUACAUACAACCAAGCCAUCUGUACAUUUUUCAUGACUCUCCAGGGGUGUGAAAUGUCCUUCAACAACAGCACUUGGAUAGUGGUCGCAUUUUCUGUUGGGACAUAUCAUAAAUGUCAGAGGGAGAAAGAGAUCUGUGUCACAUGUGAACUGAAGCAGGUCCCUUUCCCUCUCUGUGGAAACUGACUUAAUGGCAGAGCUGGGACUAAAACCCACAUCUCUUGACUCCCAAGAUAAGAAUGACUUUUAUUUUGCAGUAUGAUGCCUAGAGCAUGGUAGGGGCUCAAAAAUUACUUUGUGAACGGAAGAAUGACAGAAUGAAUGGAUAG
This 5342-nucleotide long non-coding RNA is filed under the name Homo sapiens (human). RNAcentral's name for it is "HSALNT0276652". Lineage: Eukaryota; Metazoa; Chordata; Mammalia; Primates; Hominidae. The record is from RNAcentral.